Molecule: ribosomal RNA, 440 nt
Filed under: uncultured bacterium
Lineage: Bacteria
Description: bacterial SSU rRNA
Rfam family: Bacterial small subunit ribosomal RNA
Source: RNAcentral
GUGAGAUGUCGGGUUAAGUCCCUUAACGAGCGAAACCCUUGUCGCUAGUUGCCAGCGAGUCAUGUCGGGGACUCUAGCGAGACUGCCGGUGUUAAACCGGAGGAAGGCGGGGAUGACGUCAAGUCCUCAUGGCCUUUAUGACUAGGGCUGCACACGUCCUACAAUGGCGCGUACAAAGGGAAGCAAACCCGCGAGGGCAAGCAAAUCCCAAAAAGCGCGCCUCAGUUCGGAUUGCAGGCUGCAACCCGCCUGCAUGAAGCUGGAAUCGCUAGUAAUCGCGGGUCAGCAUACCGCGGUGAAUGUGUUCCUGAGCCUUGUACACACCGCCCGUCAAGCCACGAAAGUGGGGGGCAUCCGAAGUCGCCGUGGUAACCCGCAAGGGAACUAAGCGCCGAAGAUGAACUCCGCGAUUGGGACUAAGUCGUAACAAGGUAGCCGUA